This 148-nucleotide signal recognition particle RNA is filed under the name Pan troglodytes (chimpanzee). RNAcentral describes it as "Metazoan signal recognition particle RNA". It matches the Rfam family "Metazoan signal recognition particle RNA". Rfam says of the family: The signal recognition particle (SRP) is a universally conserved ribonucleoprotein. Lineage: Eukaryota; Metazoa; Chordata; Mammalia; Primates; Hominidae. The record is from Rfam by way of RNAcentral.
GCCGGGCAUGGUGGCUCAUGCCUGUAAUCCUAGCACUUUGGGAGGCUGAGGCAGGAGGAUCGCUUGAGCCCAGGAGUUUUUGGCUGCAGUGAGCUAUGAUCAUGCCGCUGCACUCCAGCCUGAGCAACAGAGAAAGACCCUGUCUCUC